This 204-nucleotide ribosomal RNA is filed under the name uncultured bacterium. RNAcentral describes it as "partial 16S ribosomal RNA". It matches the Rfam family "Bacterial small subunit ribosomal RNA", at positions 570 to 774 of the family's 1533-position model. The record is from RNAcentral.
CGCAGGUGGUUUCUUAAGUCUGAUGUGAAAGCCCACGGCUCAACCGUGGAGGGUCAUUGGAAACUGGGGAACUUGAGUACAGGAGAGAAGAGUGGAAUUCCACGUGUAGCGGUGAAAUGCGUAGAGAUGUGGAGGAACACCAGUGGCGAAGGCGACUCUUUGGCCUGUAACUGACACUGAGGCGCGAAAGCGUGGGAGCAAACA